This 350-nucleotide long non-coding RNA is filed under the name Mustela putorius furo (domestic ferret). Its description in RNAcentral is "lncRNA (ENSMPUG00000026276.1)". Lineage: Eukaryota; Metazoa; Chordata; Mammalia; Carnivora; Mustelidae. The record is from RNAcentral.
CAGCUCCCUGUUGGGCUUUGCCAAAGGCUUGCUAAAAGAAGACUGUAAGGCAGAAGGAGGGAAGAGGGAUUUAGUCCUUUGUGUUUGCCUCCUGUUUUCUUCCUGUUUCUUCGAGCAUGACCCCAGGCACACUUUCCGUGGCCGUGGUAGCAGUUCAUUCCAGAUUGUCAAAGAUGAUUCCUCUCCAGAAACAAGUACUGCCUGUCAUCCCAGAAGUUCACCUUGGCCCCCUUGGAUUUGCCACAUCAUCAUAACAUAGAUUAAGACCUGUGCUGUCCAACAGAACCUUCCGGGAUGAUGGGAAUGCUGCAGAUCAGCACUGUCCAAUAUGAUAGCCAAUAGCUAAUUCU